Molecule: long non-coding RNA, 304 nt
Organism: Lotus japonicus
Lineage: Eukaryota; Viridiplantae; Streptophyta; Magnoliopsida; Fabales; Fabaceae
Exons: 2
Source: RefSeq, a predicted model, not a curated record
UUUUUUGGCAGGGAGGAGUCUGCUUGGCAUUUGCCGACGAGGUAUUAUGCUGGCUUUAUGGAACAGUCAAAGAAAACGAAGAUUACAUUUUGCAGUAUGCUCCACCUUCCAACCGAUUGGAGCUACUGCAAGCCCAGUCUUGCCCAGAUGUAAUUACAAGUCAUUUGGAGCUACUGCAACCCCCAUCUUGACCAAAAAAAAAGGAGCUAUUGUGAAAAUUGGAAGACCUUGACAGUUAUUUAAACAAUUCAAUAUAGCUAAAAAGGGGGAAUGAACUCUGGAUUUUCCCCUGUAACUUUGAUCA